CCGUUGGUCGUGAGGACGGCGAUGGCCAUGGCGACUGCAGCUAUGGGUGUGCUUCAGAUCAAGGGAGAGAGAUGAGGAGGAAGGUUGAGGGGAUUAGGUUUCAUCCACGGGGUCGGGGUGGGUCUUAUCUACCCCCGGGGCUCGUCGGAUACUGAAAAUAGAGGCAACAACGACCAUGGAGGCGGGGAUGGCCGCUAUGCACAGGUUCUGCCUCAUCUGUGUACACAGGAGGAAGAAAAGUCAUGUGGUGGGUUGGGCGAGUGGUUGGGCCGACUAGGUCAAUUAGGC
This 288-nucleotide long non-coding RNA is filed under the name Hordeum vulgare. RNAcentral describes it as "long non-coding RNA (HVUL_LNC019549)". Lineage: Eukaryota; Viridiplantae; Streptophyta; Magnoliopsida; Poales; Poaceae. The record is from RNAcentral.